RNAcentral lists this ribosomal RNA (1368 nucleotides) under uncultured bacterium. RNAcentral's name for it is "bacterial SSU rRNA". It matches the Rfam family "Bacterial small subunit ribosomal RNA", at positions 28 to 1381 of the family's 1533-position model. The record is from RNAcentral.
GACGAACGCUGGCGGCGCCCCUUAAAAAUGCAAGUUGAGCGCUGAAGGAUGGCCCGUGCACCCAGUGGGAGAGCAGCCAACGGGAGAACAACGCGUGGGCCAGCCGGCUUUGGGCGGGGGACAACAUUUGGCAACGGAUGCUACCACCGCAUAAAAACUUGUAGCACGACUUCUGAGUGUGAAGGAUGCUAGUGCCUCCCCCAGAGAUGCCCCCGCGUUGUAUUAGCUAGGGGGGGAGGAAGAGGCUCCCCGAGGCGAUGAUACAUACCCGACCUGAGGGGGGGAUCGGCCACAGUGGGACAGACACACGGCCCAAACUCCUGCGGGAGGCAGCAGUGGGGAAUCUUCGGCAGUGGACGAAAGUCUGACCGAGCCACCCCGCGAGAGUGAAGAAGGUUUUCGGAUCGUAAAGCUCUGGUGGUAGAAAAAAACGUGGGCGAGAGGGGAAAGCUCAUUGAGUGACCGUCACUCCCCAGAAAGGGACGGCUAACUACGUGCCAGCAGCCGCGGUAAUACGUAGUUCCCGAGCGUUGUCCGGAUUUAUUGGGCGUAAAGCGAGCGCAGGUGGUUUAUUAAGUCUGGUGUAAAAGGCAGUGGCUCAACCAUGNUAUGCAUUGAAAACUGGUAGACUUGAGUGCAGGAGAGGAGAGUGGAAUUCCAUGUGUAGCGGUGAAAUGCGUAGAUAUAUGGAGGAACACCGGUGGCGAAAGCGGCUCUCUGGCCUGUAACUGACACUGAGGCUCGAAAGCGUGGGGAGCAAACAGGAUUAGAUACCCUGGUAGUCCACGCCGUAAACGAUGAGUGCUAGAUGUAGGGAGCUAUAAGUUCUCUGUAUCGCAGCUAACGCAAUAAGCACUCCGCCUGGGGAGUACGACCGCAAGGUUGAAACUCAAAGGAAUUGACGGGGGCCCGCACAAGCGGUGGAGCAUGUGGUUUAAUUCGAAGCAACGCGAAGAACCUUACCAGGUCUUGACAUACUCGUGCUAUUCCUAGAGAUAGGAAGUUCCUUCGGGACACGGGAUACAGGUGGUGCAUGGUUGUCGUCAGCUCGUGUCGUGAGAUGUUGGGUUAAGUCCCGCAACGAGCGCAACCCCUAUUGUUAGUUGCCAUCAUUAAGUUGGGCACUCUAACGAGACUGCCGGUGAUAAACCGGAGGAAGGUGGGGAUGACGUCAAAUCAUCAUGCCCCUUAUGACCUGGGCUACACACGUGCUACAAUGGAUGGUACAACGAGUCGCGAGACAGUGAUGUUUAGCUAAUCUCUUAAAACCAUUCUCAGUUCGGAUUGUAGGCUGCAACUCGCCUACAUGAAGUCGGAAUCGCUAGUAAUCGCGGAUCAGCACGCCGCGGUGAAUACGUUCCCGGGCCU